GGCGGGGUAGCUCAGUGGUAGAGCAGAGGCCUGAAAAGCCUUGUGUCGGUAGUUCGAUUCUACUCCUCGCCACCA
This 75-nucleotide transfer RNA is filed under the name Candidatus Gracilibacteria bacterium GN02-873. Its description in RNAcentral is "tRNA-Phe". It matches the Rfam family "tRNA". From Rfam's summary of the family: Transfer RNA (tRNA) molecules are approximately 80 nucleotides in length. Their secondary structure includes four short double-helical elements and three loops (D, anti-codon, and T loops). Further hydrogen bonds mediate the characteristic L-shaped molecular structure. tRNAs have two regions of fundamental functional importance: the anti-codon, which is responsible for specific mRNA codon recognition, and the 3' end, to which the tRNAs corresponding amino acid is attached (by aminoacyl-tRNA synthetases). tRNAs cope with the degeneracy of the genetic code in two manners: having more than one tRNA (with a specific anti-codon) for a particular amino acid; and 'wobble' base-pairing, i.e. permitting non-standard base-pairing at the 3rd anti-codon position. Lineage: Bacteria; Candidatus Altimarinota. RNAcentral also lists the same sequence under 3 other names. The record is from RNAcentral.